UACGGAGGGGACUAGCGUUGUUCGGAAUUACUGGGCGUAAAGCGCACGUAGGCGGAUUUGUAAGUCAGGGGUGAAAUCCCGGGGCUCAACCUCGGAACUGCCUUUGAUACUGCAAAUCUCGAGUCCGGAAGAGGUGAGUGGAGUUCCUAGUGUAGAGGUGAAAUUCGUAGAUAUUAGGAAGAACACCGGUGGCGAAGGCGGCCCACUGGCUCGAUACUGACGCUGAGGUGCGAAAGCGUGGGGAGCGAACAGG
RNAcentral lists this ribosomal RNA (253 nucleotides) under uncultured bacterium. RNAcentral's name for it is "partial 16S ribosomal RNA". It matches the Rfam family "Bacterial small subunit ribosomal RNA", at positions 524 to 776 of the family's 1533-position model. The record is from RNAcentral.